UGGGGAAUAUUGGACAAUGGGGGAAACCCUGAUCCAGCCAUGCCGCGUGAGUGAUGAAGGCCCUAGGGUUGUAAAGCUCUUUCGGCGGGGACGAUAAUGACGGUACCCGCAGAAGAAGCCCCGGCUAACUUCGUGCCAGCAGCCGCGGUAAUACGAAGGGGGCAAGCGUUGCUCGGAAUCACUGGGCGUAAAGGGCGCGUAGGCGGGCGUCUAAGUCAGGGGUGAAAUCCCGAGGCUCAACCUCGGAAUUGCCUUUGAUACUGGAUGUCUAGAGACCGGAAGAGGUGAGUGGAACUGCGAGUGUAGAGGUGAAAUUCGUAGAUAUUCGCAAGAACACCAGUGGCGAAGGCGGCUCACUGGUCCGGUUCUGACGCUGAGGCGCGAAAGCGUGGGGAGCAAACAGGAUUAGAUACCCCCGUAGUCC
RNAcentral lists this ribosomal RNA (424 nucleotides) under uncultured bacterium. RNAcentral describes it as "bacterial SSU rRNA". It matches the Rfam family "Bacterial small subunit ribosomal RNA", at positions 355 to 796 of the family's 1533-position model. The record is from RNAcentral.